Molecule: ribosomal RNA, 497 nt
Filed under: uncultured bacterium
Lineage: Bacteria
Description: partial 16S ribosomal RNA
Rfam family: Bacterial small subunit ribosomal RNA
Source: RNAcentral
GACGAACGCUGGCGGCGUGCCUAAUACAUGCAAGUCGAGCGGACGGAUGGGAGCUUGCUCCCAGCCCGUCAGCGGCGGACGGGUGAGUAACACGUGGGCAACCUGCCUGUAAGACUGGGAUAACUCCGGGAAACCGGGGCUAAUACCGGAUAACUCUUUCCCUCACAUGAGGGAAAGCUGAAAGAUGGCAUCUCGCUAUCACUUACAGAUGGGCCCGCGGCGCAUUAGCUAGUUGGUGAGGUAACGGCUCACCAAGGCGACGAUGCGUAGCCGACCUGAGAGGGUGAUCGGCCACACUGGGACUGAGACACGGCCCAGACUCCUACGGGAGGCAGCAGUAGGGAAUCUUCCGCAAUGGACGAAAGUCUGACGGAGCAACGCCGCGUGAGUGAUGAAGGUUUUCGGAUCGUAAAACUCUGUUGUCAGGGAAGAACAAGUACCGGAGUAACUGCCGGUACCUUGACGGUACCUGACCAGAAAGCCACGGCUAACUACGU